Molecule: ribosomal RNA, 497 nt
Filed under: uncultured bacterium
Lineage: Bacteria
Description: partial 16S ribosomal RNA
Rfam family: Bacterial small subunit ribosomal RNA
Source: RNAcentral
GACGAACGCUGGCGGCGUGCCUAAUACAUGCAAGUAGAACGCUGAAGAGAGGAGCUUGCUCUUCUCGGAUGAGUUGCGAACGGGUGAGUAACGCGUAGGUAACCUGCCUUGUAGCGGGGGAUAACUAUUGGAAACGAUAGCUAAUACCGCAUAACAAUGGAUGACACAUGUCAUUUAUUUGAAAGGGGCAAUUGCUCCACUACAAGAUGGACCUGCGUUGUAUUAGCUAGUAGGUGAGGUAAUGGCUCACCUAGGCGACGAUACAUAGCCGACCUGAGAGGGUGAUCGGCCACACUGGGACUGAGACACGGCCCAGACUCCUACGGGAGGCAGCAGUAGGGAAUCUUCGGCAAUGGGGGCAACCCUGACCGAGCAACGCCGCGUGAGUGAAGAAGGUUUUCGGAUCGUAAAGCUCUGUUGUAAGUCAAGAACGGGUGUGAGAGUGGAAAGUUCACACUGUGACGGUAGCUUACCAGAAAGGGACGGCUAACUACGUG